GAUUAAGUUAUUAAGGGCGCACGGUGGAUGCCUUGGCACUAGAAGCCGAUGAAGGACGUUACUAACGACGAUAUGCUUUGGGGAGCUGUAAGUAAGCUUUGAUCCAGAGAUUUCCGAAUGGGGAAACCCAGCAUGAGUUAUGUCAUGUUAUCGAUAUGUGAAUACAUAGCAUAUCAGAAGGCACACCCGGAGAACUGAAACAUCUUAGUACCCGGAGGAAGAGAAAGAAAAUUCGAUUCCCUUAGUAGCGGCGAGCGAAACGGGAAGAGCCCAAACCAACAAGCUUGCUUGUUGGGGUUGUAGGACACUCUAUACGGAGUUACAAAGGACGACAUUAGACGAAUCAUCUGGAAAGAUGAAUCAAAGAAGGUAAUAAUCCUGUAGUCGAAAAUGUUGUCUCUCUUGAGUGGAUCCUGAGUACGACGGAACACGUGAAAUUCCGUCGGAAUCUGGGAGGACCAUCUCCUAAGGCUAAAUACUCUCUAGUGACCGAUAGUGAACCAGUACCGUGAGGGAAAGGUGAAAAGCACCCCGGAAGGGGAGUGAAAUAGAACCUGAAACCGUGUGCUUACAAGUAGUCAGAGCCCGUUAAUGGGUGAUGGCGUGCCUUUUGUAGAAUGAACCGGCGAGUUACGAUUUGAUGCAAGGUUAAGCAGUAAAUGUGGAGCCGUAGCGAAAGCGAGUCUGAAUAGGGCGUUUAGUAUUUGGUCGUAGACCCGAAACCAGGUGAUCUACCCUUGGUCAGGUUGAAGUUCAGGUAACACUGAAUGGAGGACCGAACCGACUUACGUUGAAAAGUGAGCGGAUGAACUGAGGGUAGCGGAGAAAUUCCAAUCGAACCUGGAGAUAGCUGGUUCUCUCCGAAAUAGCUUUAGGGCUAGCCUCAAGUGAUGAUUAUUGGAGGUAGAGCACUGUUUGGACGAGGGGCCCCUCUCGGGUUACCGAAUUCAGACAAACUCCGAAUGCCAAUUAAUUUAACUUGGGAGUCAGAACAUGGGUGAUAAGGUCCGUGUUCGAAAGGGAAACAGCCCAGACCACCAGCUAAGGUCCCAAAAUAUAUGUUAAGUGGAAAAGGAUGUGGCGUUGCCCAGACAACUAGGAUGUUGGCUUAGAAGCAGCCAUCAUUUAAAGAGUGCGUAAUAGCUCACUAGUCGAGUGACACUGCGCCGAAAAUGUACCGGGGCUAAACAUAUUACCGAAGCUGUGGAUUGUCCUUUGGACAAUGGUAGGAGAGCGUUCUAAGGGCGUUGAAGCAUGAUCGUAAGGACAUGUGGAGCGCUUAGAAGUGAGAAUGCCGGUGUGAGUAGCGAAAGACGGGUGAGAAUCCCGUCCACCGAUUGACUAAGGUUUCCAGAGGAAGGCUCGUCCGCUCUGGGUUAGUCGGGUCCUAAGCUGAGGCCGACAGGCGUAGGCGAUGGAUAACAGGUUGAUAUUCCUGUACCACCUAUAAUCGUUUUAAUCGAUGGGGGGGACGCAGUAGGAUAGGCGAAGCGUGCGAUUGGAUUGCACGUCUAAGCAGUAAGGCUGAGUAUUAGGCAAAUCCGGUACUCGUUAAGGCUGAGCUGUGAUGGGGAGAAGACAUUGUGUCUUCGAGUCGUUGAUUUCACACUGCCGAGAAAAGCCUCUAGAUAGAAAAUAGGUGCCCGUACCGCAAACCGACACAGGUAGUCAAGAUGAGAAUUCUAAGGUGAGCGAGCGAACUCUCGUUAAGGAACUCGGCAAAAUGACCCCGUAACUUCGGGAGAAGGGGUGCUCUUUAGGGUUAACGCCCAGAAGAGCCGCAGUGAAUAGGCCCAAGCGACUGUUUAUCAAAAACACAGGUCUCUGCUAAACCGUAAGGUGAUGUAUAGGGGCUGACGCCUGCCCGGUGCUGGAAGGUUAAGAGGAGUGGUUAGCUUCUGCGAAGCUACGAAUCGAAGCCCCAGUAAACGGCGGCCGUAACUAUAACGGUCCUAAGGUAGCGAAAUUCCUUGUCGGGUAAGUUCCGACCCGCACGAAAGGCGUAACGAUUUGGGCACUGUCUCAACGAGAGACUCGGUGAAAUCAUAGUACCUGUGAAGAUGCAGGUUACCCGCGACAGGACGGAAAGACCCCGUGGAGCUUUACUGUAGCCUGAUAUUGAAAUUCGGCACAGCUUGUACAGGAUAGGUAGGAGCCUUUGAAACGUGAGCGCUAGCUUACGUGGAGGCGCUGGUGGGAUACUACCCUAGCUGUGUUGGCUUUCUAACCCGCACCACUUAUCGUGGUGGGAGACAGUGUCAGGCGGGCAGUUUGACUGGGGCGGUCGCCUCCUAAAAGGUAACGGAGGCGCUCAAAGGUUCCCUCAGAAUGGUUGGAAAUCAUUCAUAGAGUGUAAAGGCAUAAGGGAGCUUGACUGCGAGACCUACAAGUCGAGCAGGGUCGAAAGACGGACUUAGUGAUCCGGUGGUUCCGCAUGGAAGGGCCAUCGCUCAACGGAUAAAAGCUACCCCGGGGAUAACAGGCUUAUCUCCCCCAAGAGUUCACAUCGACGGGGAGGUUUGGCACCUCGAUGUCGGCUCAUCGCAUCCUGGGGCUGUAGUCGGUCCCAAGGGUUGGGCUGUUCGCCCAUUAAAGCGGUACGCGAGCUGGGUUCAGAACGUCGUGAGACAGUUCGGUCCCUAUCCGUCGUGGGCGUAGGAAAUUUGAGAGGAGCUGUCCUUAGUACGAGAGGACCGGGAUGGACAUACCUCUGGUGUACCAGUUGUCGUGCCAACGGCAUAGCUGGGUAGCUAUGUGUGGACGGGAUAAGUGCUGAAAGCAUCUAAGCAUGAAGCCCCCCUCAAGAUGAGAUUUCCCAACUUCGGUUAUAAGAUCCCUCAAAGAUGAUGAGGUUAAUAGGUUCGAGGUGGAAGCAUGGUGACAUGUGGAGCUGACGAAUACUAAUCGAUCGAAGACUUAAUCAA
RNAcentral lists this ribosomal RNA (2924 nucleotides) under Staphylococcus aureus. RNAcentral's name for it is "23S ribosomal RNA". It matches the Rfam family "Bacterial large subunit ribosomal RNA". Lineage: Bacteria; Bacillati; Bacillota; Bacilli; Caryophanales; Staphylococcaceae. The record is from RNAcentral.